GACGAACGCUGGCGGCGUGCUUAACACAUGCAAGUCGAACGGAAAGGCCCUGCUUUUGUGGGGUGCUCGAGUGGCGAACGGGUGAGUAACACGUGAGUAACCUGCCCUUGACUUUGGGAUAACUUCAGGAAACUGGGGCUAAUACCGGAUAGGAGCUCCUGCUGCAUGGUGGGGGUUGGAAAGUUUCGGCGGUUGGGGAUGGACUCGCGGCUUAUCAGCUUGUUGGUGGGGUAGUGGCUUACCAAGGCUUUGACGGGUAGCCGGCCUAAGAGGGUGACCGGCCACAUUGGGACUGAGAUACGGCCCAGACUCCUACGGGAGGCAGCAGUGGGGAAUAUGGCACAAUGGGCGGAAGCCGGAUGCAGCAACGCCGCGUGCGGGAUGACGGCCUUCGGGUGGUAAACCGCUUUCGCCUGUGACGAAGCGUGAGUGACGGUAAUGGGGAAAGAAGCACCGGCUAACUACGU
Molecule: ribosomal RNA, 467 nt
Filed under: uncultured bacterium
Lineage: Bacteria
Description: partial 16S ribosomal RNA
Rfam family: Bacterial small subunit ribosomal RNA
Source: RNAcentral